This 96-nucleotide transfer RNA is filed under the name Fusarium culmorum. It matches the Rfam family "tRNA". Rfam says of the family: Transfer RNA (tRNA) molecules are approximately 80 nucleotides in length. Their secondary structure includes four short double-helical elements and three loops (D, anti-codon, and T loops). RNAcentral also lists the same sequence under 5 other names. The record is from Rfam by way of RNAcentral. Lineage: Eukaryota; Fungi; Ascomycota; Sordariomycetes; Hypocreales; Nectriaceae.
GCGGGUUUAGCUCAGUUGGGAGAGCGUCAGACUGAAGCCAAACUUCAAUCAUCUAUCGAUAUCUGAAGGUCAUGUGUUCGAUCCACAUAAACCGCA